Molecule: non-coding RNA, 106 nt
Organism: Acanthosepion pharaonis
Lineage: Eukaryota; Metazoa; Mollusca; Cephalopoda; Sepiida; Sepiidae
Source: the annotation of a GenBank genome assembly
CAUAUCUCGUUGAAACACCGGUUCCCUUCCGAUCACCGAAGUUAAGCAACCUCGAACCUGGUCAGUACCUAGAUGAGUAACAACCUGGGUAUAGCAGGUGUUGCAA